AUGUAACCCGGGUGUAAAUUUUAACCUUUAUUUCCUCCUCCGAUUUUCCAGUCUUUUAACCUUUUUAUAUCUCAAACCCCGCGAUGCUUUUAAUAGAAUGAUUGGCGAUUCUCGCGAGACUAUUAAUUAGCCAAUUGCGGUUGAGUAUUGGGGUCACGUGUACCGCUGCAGUGUUACCUGCUAGGUAUAUUAGCUGGAGCAGGGAGGCAUGAAGGUUAGAACACGUUGGCAGGAGCAGAGCUGCAGGAGCCAACUGGUGUGAGCCAGAAGGGAGAUG
Xiphophorus hellerii (green swordtail) is the source of this 277-nucleotide long non-coding RNA. RefSeq lists it as uncharacterized. NCBI's taxonomy places the organism in Eukaryota, Metazoa, Chordata, Actinopteri, Cyprinodontiformes, Poeciliidae. The transcript is spliced from 2 exons. The record is from RefSeq and is a predicted model, not a curated record.